AUUGAACGCUGGCGGCAGGCCUAACACAUGCAAGUCGAACGGUAACAGGAAGCAGCUUGCUGCUUUGCUGACGAGUGGCGGACGGGUGAGUAAUGUCUGGGAAACUGCCUGAUGGAGGGGGAUAACUACUGGAAACGGUAGCUAAUACCGCAUAACGUCGCAAGACCAAAGAGGGGGACCUUAGGGCCUCUUGCCAUCGGAUGUGCCCAGAUGGGAUUAGCUAGUAGGUGGGGUAACGGCUCACCUAGGCGACGAUCCCUAGCUGGGCUGAGAGGAUGACCAGCCACACUGGAACUGAGACACGGUCCAGACUCCUACGGGAGGCAGCAGUGGGGAAUAUUGCACAAUGGGCGCAAGCCUGAUGCAGCCAUGCCGCGUGUAUGAAGAAGGCCUUCGGGUUGUAAAGUACUUUCAGCGGGGAGGAAGGGAGUAAAGUUAAUACCUUGGCUCAUUGACGUUACCCGCAGAAGAAGCACCGGCUAACUCCGUG
RNAcentral lists this ribosomal RNA (490 nucleotides) under uncultured bacterium. RNAcentral's name for it is "partial 16S ribosomal RNA". It matches the Rfam family "Bacterial small subunit ribosomal RNA", at positions 30 to 507 of the family's 1533-position model. The record is from RNAcentral.